GGGCGAUUAGCUCAGUUGGUUCAGAGCACUUGGUUUACACCCAAGGGGUCACAGGUUCGACUCCUGUAUCGCCCA
Molecule: transfer RNA, 75 nt
Filed under: Bacteroidales bacterium
Lineage: Bacteria; Pseudomonadati; Bacteroidota; Bacteroidia; Bacteroidales
Also listed under: 2 other names
Description: tRNA-Val
Rfam family: tRNA
About the family: Transfer RNA (tRNA) molecules are approximately 80 nucleotides in length. Their secondary structure includes four short double-helical elements and three loops (D, anti-codon, and T loops). Further hydrogen bonds mediate the characteristic L-shaped molecular structure. tRNAs have two regions of fundamental functional importance: the anti-codon, which is responsible for specific mRNA codon recognition, and the 3' end, to which the tRNAs corresponding amino acid is attached (by aminoacyl-tRNA synthetases). tRNAs cope with the degeneracy of the genetic code in two manners: having more than one tRNA (with a specific anti-codon) for a particular amino acid; and 'wobble' base-pairing, i.e. permitting non-standard base-pairing at the 3rd anti-codon position.
Source: RNAcentral